Molecule: ribosomal RNA, 453 nt
Filed under: Salmonella enterica
Lineage: Bacteria; Pseudomonadati; Pseudomonadota; Gammaproteobacteria; Enterobacterales; Enterobacteriaceae
Description: partial 23S ribosomal RNA
Rfam family: Bacterial large subunit ribosomal RNA
Source: RNAcentral
UUGGCUUAGAAGCAGCCAUCAUUUAAAGAAAGCGUAAUAGCUCACUGGUCGAGUCGGCCUGCGCGGAAGAUGUAACGGGGCUAAACCAUGCACCGAAGCUGCGGCAGCGACGCUGAUGCGUUGUUGGGUAGGGGAGCGUUCUGUAAGCCUGUGAAGGUGGCCUGUGAGGGUUGCUGGAGGUAUCAGAAGUGCGAAUGCUGACAUAAGUAACGAUAAAGCGGGUGAAAAGCCCGCUCGCCGGAAGACCAAGGGUUCCUGUCCAACGUUAAUCGGGGCAGGGUGAGUCGACCCCUAAGGCGAGGCCGAAAGGCGUAGUCGAUGGGAAACGGGUUAAUAUUCCCGUACUUGGUGUUACUGCGAAGGGGGGACGGAGAAGGCUAUGUUGGCCGGGCGACGGUUGUCCCGGUUUAAGCGUGUAGGUGUGUGUUCCAGGUAAAUCCGGUUCACUUUAAC